This is a non-coding RNA of Potamilus streckersoni, 67 nucleotides long. The record is from the annotation of a GenBank genome assembly. NCBI's taxonomy places the organism in Eukaryota, Metazoa, Mollusca, Bivalvia, Unionida, Unionidae.
GUGGCCUAGUGGUUAAAGCAUCAGCCUUGGAUGCAGGAGGUCGUGGGUUCGAGUCCCAGUCAAGUCA